GUUUCUUCUCCAAAAUCCCUGGUUGAAUCAUGGAUAAGAGCAUGUUAGCUGGUUUUGAAUCACUUCUAGAAGCUGAUCAGCAAAGAAUGGCAUCCAUGAUGGAAUAGGUUCAAAUUUGUGACAGUGCUAAAAAACGUGAUCACUAUUACUCACUUGCGAAAGAUUUUCUCGAGAUUACACCUCGGAAGACAAUUGGAGAAUUGAAGGAAUGUAAAGAGGAUGGUGAUUAUGCUGUGUAUGGUACAAUUAUGGGAGUGAUUGGUGGAACUGAUUGGUUUGUUGCUCAAUGUAGAUGUGGCACUAAAAUUGUUCUAAAGCUUGGGUCAUACU
Molecule: long non-coding RNA, 330 nt
Organism: Arachis duranensis
Lineage: Eukaryota; Viridiplantae; Streptophyta; Magnoliopsida; Fabales; Fabaceae
Exons: 3
Source: RefSeq, a predicted model, not a curated record